Molecule: long non-coding RNA, 415 nt
Organism: Sardina pilchardus (European sardine)
Lineage: Eukaryota; Metazoa; Chordata; Actinopteri; Clupeiformes; Clupeidae
Exons: 3
Source: RefSeq, a predicted model, not a curated record
UCGCGUUCGCACGGGAUUAAUAUUACCCAAGGUAAUUUCUCCGGACCGUUUUACGGAAGGUAAAAGUGUCUGUAAAUGUCACCGACAUACUCCGUUAUGUUUACUGACAUGGCGCGUCCGGACGGGACUACAUUACCUGGUCUAUGGUCCAGACCUAUGGUCCAGACCCUUGUGUGGAGCUCAGCUAAACGCCUCUGGUGGAGCAUGGCGGAACUACAAGGGUCUGGCGAGAGUCAGGCUACCUGGGUCCUGCAGUAACUGUCAACGUACAGAGAUGAAGGCAAUUUGUAAGGUCCGGCAGCCUGACUUUGAAUCAGAUGAUGGAUGCCCUAGACCUAAUCGAAAGGAGCACACGUUUUUAGGUUUGUUGUAAUAAAUAAACUGUAGGCUAAAAUAAAGUAUUCUGUCUAACUUA